ACCAGAUAUGGUGGUGCACAUCUGUAAUCCCAGUGACUUGGGAGGCUGAGGCAGGAGGAUUUAAAGUCCAAGGCCAACCUCAGGAAUAUAGAGAGGCACUAAGCCACUUAGUGAGAUCCUGCCUCAA
RNAcentral lists this small RNA (127 nucleotides) under Marmota monax (woodchuck). Lineage: Eukaryota; Metazoa; Chordata; Mammalia; Rodentia; Sciuridae. The record is from RNAcentral.